ACUCCUACGGGAGGCAGCAGUGGGGAAUAUUGCACAAUGGGGAAACCCUGAUGCAGCCAUGCCGCGUGUGUGAAGAAGGCCUUCGGUUGUAAAGCACUUUCAGUAGGGAGGAAGGUAGUGUAGUUAACACCUGCAUUAUUUGACGUUACCUACAGAAGAAGCACCGGCUAACUCCGUGCCAGCAGCCGCGGUAAUACGGAGGGGUGCGAGCGUUAAUCGGAAUUACUGGGCGUAAAGCGCAUGCAGGCGGCCUGUUAAGUCAGAUGUGAAAGCCCGGGGGCUUAACCUCGGAAUUGCAUUUGAAACUGGCAGGCUAGAGUCUUGUAGAGGGGGUAGGAAUUUCAGGUGUAGCGGUGAAAUGCGUAGAGAUCUGAAGGAAUACCAGUGGCGAAGGCGGCCCCCUGGACAAAGACUGACGCUCAGAUGCGAAAGCGUGGGGAGCGAAACAGGAUUAGAUACCCUGGUAGCACAGAG
RNAcentral lists this ribosomal RNA (474 nucleotides) under uncultured bacterium. RNAcentral describes it as "bacterial SSU rRNA". It matches the Rfam family "Bacterial small subunit ribosomal RNA", at positions 335 to 799 of the family's 1533-position model. The record is from RNAcentral.